Molecule: long non-coding RNA, 1679 nt
Filed under: Androctonus crassicauda
Lineage: Eukaryota; Metazoa; Arthropoda; Arachnida; Scorpiones; Buthidae
Source: RNAcentral
CUAUAAUCACACUAGAUAUAAUAAUUCCUCAUAGAAGGUUGCUGCUUUUUCCAUUCUACUAUCUUUAUCAAUGAUGUGCUCUCAAUUAUCUUCUUUAAUUGCAGUUAGUUGGUCUUAUCUUUGCCAGUCAUCAUAUCCCUUCUUGCAAAGAAUCUUGGUGUUUAUGAGAUUACUAUUCUUGAAGAAAACGUCAAUCUUCUUAAAAAACAGAAGCAUCAAAGUUUCAUAAGCAUUAUGACUCUUUGCCUUUGUUAAGUUGCACAAUCAAUCAAUUUCCUUUAGACUAGUAGUAAAGAAAUGUAAGUUCCCUUACUUUUGAAAUUGAAUCAGCAUUAGCAGAAUGGUGCUUAGAACACAUGAAAGGUUAUCAAUGGUCAAUACAAUCAGCUAAGGAAAUGUUGGACACUUUCUUUGAGGUAGGAUGAAGUACUAGAAGUGUACAAUUUUGAAUCUUUAUAUCCUAAAAUUAAAAUCGAAUUAGCAUGCCUAAACUGUUACUGCCUUCUAUUAUUGUAUUUACUAUACCAACUGUCAUUAGAAAUUUAUGUCAUAUCUUAUUACAUAAGUCAUACCUCAUAUUUAAUGGCAAAUAUUAUCAGCAAACAGGAGGAGUCCCAAUUGGCAGCCUCUUUGUUUGUGUGGAGUUAAUAGUUUGUAAAAAAGAGGAGUGUAUUAUACCAAAGUUAACUACAAACAUGCAUUUAUAAGAGAUAUUUUCUCUUUUACCACUAAGUUAUCACUUAUGACAAAUUCCUAGGACUGAUAUCAAAAAGACAAGAAUGGGAUGAACUGACUGUUAACUAUUUAGACAUGAACAUUAAAAUUACCAAUGGUAAAUAUGUCACAUCAGUACAUAGGAAGAAUACAUAUAGACCAUUUUUUAUUAAAAUGACAGCAAAGGAACCAUGGCACUAUAAAAUGACAGCAUUUAGGACCUUGCUACAAAGGAUAAUAGCAUACUUCAGUAAUCAGGACACUGUUAAUGAAAAAUUAGAAUGGUAACUCCACCAAGGGGAAUUGCAUGGUUACAACAGAAAUGUCAUCUUAAAGGUAUGGGGAAAAAUCACAUGUAGUACAACUAAACACACCAACCACAAUAAUACAUAUGAUAAAAAAGGAAAGACGUAUAUUGUAGAAAAUAAUAGAAUCUUUAGGAAAUUUAAUAGAAAAUUAGAAUGAAUGACUAAGAAUAAAAUAGUAUGUAAUGGAAGGAACACCAUUUUCAACCUAUUACAAAAUGAAAAAAAUUUUAUAAAAUGGAACGAUUCUCUCAGAGUAUAUGAGAUUCCAUUUAAAAAUUUAGAUAGACAGAGGGAUGAAAUGUACAUAAGGUGCACUUCUUGCUCUUUACAAAAAAGAGUAAUAGAUCAUAAAAAAAGACAGAGCAGGAAACAGUGCGACAGUGAAGUGAGAACGCUUCACUGUCGCAAAGAAUUGCUAACACUGUAGAACCCAAUACAAUUAGUCUAGCCUGGAUUUGAUGUCAGAAAAAGCAAAAAUGAUAAUCAUCUAUAAUGUAAUACCUCAAUAGUGGCAACACCAUAACAACAAUAGGUUUUUAUAUCAAUGUAAUAUAUUUAUGUCAUGUUUAGUAUUAAUGUUGUUUCAAUGUAUAUUUGAAUUAUUGUAUGAUUAUACAGAUUUUAUAAUUUAGUUUUAAUGUUUUCAUUAUUAUAGUA